This 94-nucleotide non-coding RNA is filed under the name Marivirga tractuosa. RNAcentral describes it as "SAM-I sequence". It matches the Rfam family "SAM riboswitch aptamer (S box leader)". Rfam says of the family: The SAM riboswitch is found upstream of a number of genes which code for proteins involved in methionine or cysteine biosynthesis in Gram-positive bacteria. The SAM riboswitch acts at the level of transcription termination control. Lineage: Bacteria; Pseudomonadati; Bacteroidota; Cytophagia; Cytophagales; Marivirgaceae. The record is from RNAcentral. RNAcentral also lists the same sequence under 1 other name.
AAUUUAUAACGAAGAGGUGAGAGACAGGCUCGUUGACCCUCUGGCAACCUGAAUCAAGGUGCCAAAUCCUGCCCGAUUUUGGGAAAUAUAAAUU